UUACAUCAUCUCAUGGGCCUAGUGCAUGCCCAUGCACCCAUGUAAGAGAUAAACUCAAAAUUAUCCAAAAUUGGAAGUGUGCAAAUAUCAAUCCCAUAGCCUAUAAAUAGAAGUGCAUUGUGAUCAGAACUUGAUGAACACCUUGCCCAAGUUUUGCUAGACCUCUGCAAACCCUCACUGCCAUAGAAUUUUCGUAGAUUUCUUUGAAAUCGAGCUUGAACAUCACCAUCUAUUUGGAAGUUCAAACUCUAGAAAUUCACCUCCAU
This 266-nucleotide long non-coding RNA is filed under the name Lathyrus oleraceus (garden pea). RNAcentral describes it as "Pisum sativum (pea) long non-coding RNA (PSAT_LNC019859)". Lineage: Eukaryota; Viridiplantae; Streptophyta; Magnoliopsida; Fabales; Fabaceae. The record is from RNAcentral.